This 497-nucleotide ribosomal RNA is filed under the name uncultured bacterium. RNAcentral's name for it is "partial 16S ribosomal RNA". It matches the Rfam family "Bacterial small subunit ribosomal RNA", at positions 28 to 507 of the family's 1533-position model. The record is from RNAcentral.
GACGAACGCUGGCGGCGUGCCUAAUACAUGCAAGUUGAGCGAUGAAGAUUGGUGCUUGCACCAAUUUGAAGAGCAGCGAACGGGUGAGUAACGCGUGGGGAAUCUGCCUUUGAGCGGGGGACAACAUUUGGAAACGAAUGCUAAUACCGCAUAACAACUUUAAACAUAAGUUUUAAGUUUGAAAGAUGCAAUUGCAUCACUCAAAGAUGAUCCCGCGUUGUAUUAGCUAGUUGGUGAGGUAAAGGCCCACCAAGGCGAUGAUACAUAGCCGACCUGAGAGGGUGAUCGGCCACAUGGGAGCUGGGACACGGCCCAAACUCCUGCGAGAGGCAGCAGUAGGGAAUCUUCGGCAAUGGACGAAAGUCUGACCGAGCAACGCCGCGUGAGUGAAGAAGGUUUUCGGAGCGUAAAACUCUGUUGGUAGAGAAGAACGGUGGUGAGAGUGGAAAGCUCAUCAAGUGACGGUAACUACCCAGAAAGGGACGGCUAACUACGUG